CCUACGGGAGGCUGCAGUGGGGAAUAUUGCACAAUGGGGGAAACCCUGAUGCAGCGACGCCGCGUGAGUGAAGAAGGAUUUCGGGAUGUAAAGCUCUAUCAGCAGGGAAGAAAAAAGAGGGUACCUGACGAAGAAGCGCCGGCUAACUACGUGCCAGUAGCCGCGGUAAUACGUAGGGGGCAAGCGUUAUCCGGAUUUACGGGGUGUAAAGGGAGCGUAGACGGUAUGGCAAGUCGGAAGUGAAAGCCCAGGGCUUAACCCUGGGACUGCUUUGGAAACUGUUAGACUAGAGUGCUGGAGAGGUAAGUGGACUUCCUAGUGUAGCGGUGAACUGCGUAGAUAUUAGGAGGAACCCCAGUGGCGAAGGCGGCUUACUGGACAGUACCUGACGUUGAGGCUCGAACGCGUGGGGAGCAAACAGGAUUAGAUACCCGGGUAGUC
This 441-nucleotide ribosomal RNA is filed under the name uncultured bacterium. RNAcentral describes it as "partial 16S ribosomal RNA". It matches the Rfam family "Bacterial small subunit ribosomal RNA", at positions 338 to 795 of the family's 1533-position model. The record is from RNAcentral.